GUUGCAGGUCUACUGGCAUCAACAGUCUGUCUAUAGGGAAAGGCAAUCAAGGGCACACAUGGUCCACUUGUGUUUAGGGGAUCAUGGUAUCAAGAGAAUUAAAGUGUUAAUGUGGCUCAGGUGAUUGAGGGCAAGUAUCCAAGAGGUGUACAGAGGAGAAUCACAAGGUACUAUUCAUGAUCAGAAAGUUUUUACCAAUCUUUGAGCACUGACAAAAGUGGAGAUGCUGUGAAAGGAAUGGAAUAUGAUAUUCCAGAAAGCAAGGGAACUAGAUCUACAACCAAGAAUCAACUACUCAGCAAAACUGACUAUAUUGUUACAGGGGAAAGUAUGGUCAUUCAACAAAAGAGAAGAAUUCCAAGAAUUUGUAAAGAAAAGACCAAACCUGAAUAGAAAAUUUGAUGCCCAAGCACAGAACUCAAGAGAAUCAUCAAAAGGCCACUCCACUCUCACCCUGACAUGGAAAGCUGUUGAUCUGCCACCCCCAAGAACUGACCUGAGAUGAUUAAGAGACCAUACGAUCAUACAUAGGACUCCUUGUUCAUCACUGAUACCACAUGGAAUUUCUGGACAAAUGUAUGCUUAGGAGACAAUAGGUAAGUAAGGAGAAACAAUAGGUAUUUGUAGGCCAAUGGGUACAGAAAAAAUUCU
Molecule: long non-coding RNA, 651 nt
Filed under: Monodelphis domestica (gray short-tailed opossum)
Lineage: Eukaryota; Metazoa; Chordata; Mammalia; Didelphimorphia; Didelphidae
Description: lncRNA (ENSMODG00000034564.2)
Source: RNAcentral